Molecule: ribosomal RNA, 463 nt
Filed under: uncultured bacterium
Lineage: Bacteria
Description: partial 16S ribosomal RNA
Rfam family: Bacterial small subunit ribosomal RNA
Source: RNAcentral
CUACGGGUGGCACCAGUCGAGAAUUUUUCUCAAUGGGGGAAACCCUGAAGGAGCGACGCCGCGUGGGGGAUGAAGGACUUCGGUUCGUAAACCCCUGUCACUUGGGAACAAAAGCUGCAACCUAACACGUUGCAGCCUGAUAGUACCAGGAGAGGAAGGCACGGCUAACUCUGUGCCAGCAGCCGCGGUAAUACAGAGGUGCCAGGCGUUGUUCGGAUUUAUUGGGCGUAAAGGGUGCGUAGGCGGUCAUGUAAGUCGGGUGUGAAAUACCGGAGCCUAACUCCGGAACGGCAUUCGAAACUACAUGGCUGGAGAUCUGGAGAGGUGAUUGGAAUUCUCGGUGUAGCAGUGAAAUGCGUAGAUAUCGAGAGGAACACCAGAGGCGAAAGCGAAUCACUGGACAGAAUCUGACGCUGAGGCACGAAAGCCAGGGGAGCAAACGGGAUUAGAUACUCCUGUAGUC